Molecule: ribosomal RNA, 876 nt
Filed under: uncultured crenarchaeote
Lineage: Archaea; Thermoproteati; Thermoproteota
Description: bacterial SSU rRNA
Rfam family: Archaeal small subunit ribosomal RNA
Source: RNAcentral
ACCUGACUGCUAUCGGAUUGAUACUAAGCCAUGCGAGUCAUUGUAGCAAUACAAGGCAUACGGCUCAGUAACGCGUAGUCAACCUAACCUAUGGACGGGAAUAACCUCGGGAAACUGAGAAUAAUGCCCGAUAGAACACUAUACCUGGAAUGGUUUGUGUUCCAAAUGAUUUAUCGCCGUAGGAUGGGACUGCGGCCUAUCAGUUUGUUGGUGAGGUAAUGGCCCACCAAGACUAUUACAGGUACGGGCUCUGAGAGGAGUAGCCCGGAGAUGGGUACUGAGACACGGACCCAGGCCCUAUGGGGCGCAGCAGGCGAGAAAACUUUGCAAUGUGCGAAAGCACGACAAGGUUAAUCCGAGUGAUUUGUGCUAAACGAAUCUUUUGUUAGUCCUAGAACCACUAACGAAUAAGGGGUGGGCAAGUUCUGGUGUCAGCCGCCGCGGUAAAACCAGCACCUCAAGUGGUCAGGAUGAUUAUUGGGCCUAAAGCAUCCGUAGCCGGCUCUGUAAGUUUUCGGUUAAAUCUGUACGCUUAACGUACAGGCUGCCGGGAAUACUGCAGAGCUAGGGAGUGGGAGAGGUAGACGGUACUCGGUAGGAAGGGGUAAAAUCCUUUGAUCUAUUGAUGACCACCUGUGGCGAAGGCGGUCUACCAGAACACGUCCGACGGUGAGGGAUGAAAGCUGGGGGAGCAAACCGGAUUAGAUACCCGGGUAGUCCCAGCUGUAAACUAUGCAAACUCAGUGAUGCAUUGACUUGUGGUCAAUGCAGUGCUGCAGGGAAGCCGUUAAGUUUGCCGCCUGGGAAGUACGUACGCAAGUAUGAAACUUAAAGGAAUUGGCGGGGGAGCACCACAAGGGGUGAAGCCUGCGGUUC